This 788-nucleotide ribosomal RNA is filed under the name uncultured Enterocarpus. RNAcentral describes it as "eukaryotic LSU rRNA". It matches the Rfam family "Eukaryotic large subunit ribosomal RNA", at positions 50 to 764 of the family's 3401-position model. The record is from RNAcentral. Lineage: Eukaryota; Fungi; Ascomycota; Sordariomycetes; Microascales; Microascaceae.
GCGCAGGAAAAGAAACCAACAGGGAUUGCCCUAGUAACGGCGAGUGGAGCGGCAACAGCUCAAAUUUGAAAUCUGGUCCUUCGGGGCCCGAGUUGUAAUUUGCAGAGGAUGCUUUUGGCGCGGUGCCUUCCGAGUGCCCUGGAGCGGGACGCCACAGAGGGUGAGAGCCCCGUAUGGUUGGACACCAAGCCUAUGUAAAGCUCCUUCGACGAGUCGAGUAGUUUGGGAAUGCUGCUCAAAAUGGGAGGUAAACCCCUUCUAAAGCUAGAUACUGGCCAGAGACCGAUAGCGCACAAGUAGAGUGAUCGAAAGAUGAAAAGCACUUUGAAAAGAGAGUUAAAAAGCACGUGAAAUUGUUGAAAGGGAAGCGUUUGCGACCAGACUUGCGCCCGUCGAAUCAGCCGUCCCUCGUGGGCGGUGCUCUUCGGCGGGCUCAGGCCAGCAUCAGUUUACUGCAGGGGGAGAAAUGCGCUGCGAAUAUGGCGCCUCCUAGAGUUGUAAUAGCGGGGCUUCAUAACCCUCGGUGGAGAAACUGAGGGGGGGUGAAAAAGCAUGGUAUGCUGGGCAUAUUGGUCGGUCAGCGCGCACGUGCUAGUAAACAGAGAACCCAAGUGAGUCGCAAGUAUAAGAGCGGGGUGCCCGGGAGGAACAAAGGCUCACGAUAUGUAAAUGAUGAGUGGAAACGCACGGUGAGGAGUUUUCGGGGGGAAUCAUCCGGAGUAUAGUUUGUGAUUUUUCCUGGGGCAUGGAAUUCUGAAAAGAGGGGACCCCCCGUGGGAUACCCAAGU